Siniperca chuatsi (mandarin fish) is the source of this 1900-nucleotide long non-coding RNA. RefSeq lists it as uncharacterized. The transcript is spliced from 2 exons. The record is from RefSeq and is a predicted model, not a curated record. Lineage: Eukaryota; Metazoa; Chordata; Actinopteri; Centrarchiformes; Sinipercidae.
UUUAUAUAAUUUUAAAGAAUACAGAAUAUUAUUAAGCUUCAGAUCUGUCUCUCUGCCUGUUUUCUUGCAUUAUCUCCAUGCAUGACUGUUUGUUUUUGGUCCUGUGUGUGUACAUGUCCUCUACUGCCUGCUAGCACCAGUGCUGGCUGUGUCUUGGUGUGACAUGUGGCGGCUGACACAGAGAAAGCAGCUUACAGCUCCUGGUCCCUGCUUGGUCCUGGCUGGACCGGGCGGCGAGCGUCCUGGGGGCCUCCCGGACUGCCACCAACAGGGCUUUAUCAGCCCUGAGGAUUAAUGCGAUUUCAUCAGGGUCCACAGGCCUGCCUGCAGACACACACACACCCGCAGGCAUGCAAACAUGCUCAGAGAAAGUGCAAGUAGUUGGGGAACAGAGAACGAGACAUUCAACUACAACGUUAUAGCCAACGGCUGUAUAUUAACCUGUUAAACUGAGCAUGCUAACAUGCGCACAAUGCAGGGGCAGAGCUAGACUCUCAGCAGAGAGGGGGAGGAGCAUUCUCAAGGGGCCCUUCUGAUACAGUCAUUAUAAAAUUCACUGUAUUCAACAUUCAACUGUAAAAUAGCUGAUAUAUCUGAUCCUAUCCUAACCAUAAACACAAAUUGUCACUUAUUGAGCCAAGAAAACAUACAGUGAAGUCACUUUGUUUCAGCAUCGAAGAAAGCACGCGGCGCUCUACAUGCAUCGAUUAACGGUUCAGGCUUAGAAGCCAGGUGCACUGUCUCAGUACCAUGUCUUUCUUACAUGGGAAUAACUUUAUGUUAUGUUUAACAGUCUACAACACUAUACAAAGCCUACUUAAAUAUAAACCAUAUAGAGGACAAAACAAUUCGACAAAAAAGACGAACAAUAAAUGAAAAGUCUAUGGACACGCAUUAUUAGGCUACAGAAAUGAAAUAACCUGCCACUAAACAUUAUAAACUCCAUAGCCAGUGCAGCCACAAACACACAUAUUAUACAUAUAUAUUUGCACUCUACCGACUUUGUAUUGCAACUGCUGCACAACAAUUUCCCUUGGGAUAAAAAAGUUCUAUCUUGUCUUACCUAAUGUUAAAGCAAAGGACAGACUUAGAGAGACAGUUUUUACACAACGCAUAUAGCAUGCACACACUACAAUGCUAGGCAAUGCAGUGGCUGCACAUAUGGAAAGUGAGUUACAAUUAUUAAGAGUUUGUCAUUGUACUCACCUGUCUGAACGGCAUUCUGCAAGCUUUAUGCACUGCAAAGUCCUCAACAAUCUGCUCUAGGUUCAACUUCUUUACUCGUUUAUGCUCAAAGCUUAAUAUAACCAGUCCACUCAGCCUCUUUAAAAGGAUAACCUUUUAACGGCCUUCAACACAUUAUAAAGCCUAGUCAAACUAAAAUAGUCCAUUUGUGUAUUCCACCAUCCUCCAUAGAACAAAAUAAUCCGAACAGGUUAACGAACUUUGUAGCUACAUAUCCUAAUCUCUUUCAUGGUGGCAAACCUGCCAACCACUUUGUCUUUGCCAAUGUUUAUGUCCCGCACAACACACGGCAUUUUAGUGCUUAGCUACAUUUAAAAAACAGAAACAGCAAACGGGAACGGAUCAAAACGAGGCUUCAAACUGAAACAUUGUAGUGACGGCCCACAUUUCCCAUCAUGCCUUGUGCUGGACUGAGUAGUUUAAGUUAGCUUUUUAUGUGCCAAAAUGCAAAUGUUACUUUUUCUUAGUGUUUGUAAUGUCUCUGUUCAUAACAUUGUGGUUUAUGUUGGUAGUUGUCAUUUUUGUGCUGGUUCAUAUUUUUAACCAUUAGUGAGGUGGCUGUUACAUUUCUUGACCACAGCUGUAUUUUAACAUUGUGUUAAGAGUUCUUGUCAUGUGUGGACUGUCAUUAAAGGAAAAAUGUACUUGAGAACUA